This is a long non-coding RNA of Portunus trituberculatus (swimming crab), 396 nucleotides long. RefSeq lists it as uncharacterized. NCBI's taxonomy places the organism in Eukaryota, Metazoa, Arthropoda, Malacostraca, Decapoda, Portunidae. The transcript has 3 exons. The record is from RefSeq and is a predicted model, not a curated record.
GUGGCGGGUCUGACAGAACACACUGCCCACCACCGCCAUAACCACCACAGUAAAAAUGCAUGAGGGACCAGAGCUUCACUUGACAGCUAAAUUCAUCACCGCAGUCAGACAGAAGACGCUAUUCGGGAGCCAGGUGGUCAAGUCAGCAGUGUCCACCAAGAACCCUGACGUGGAAUGGAACAAGGAAGUGUACAGGGUGCCUGCCAACUCCAGAGGGAAAGAGCUGAAGGUGGUGGUGAAGGGCGGCGCGUCUCAAUAUUCUCAUCCGUUUCAACAUGUCAGACAGCUUCAAGUACACGCAUGUCAGUGAGCUGCCCAAACACGCACAAUUGUAAUGUAUAAUGAGGAAAAAAAUAUGGCAUUGAAAAGAUAGAUAAGGAAGAUCUGGUACUGGUG